GGGGCAUAGCUCAGUUGGGAGAGCGCUUGAAUGGCAUUCAAGAGGUCAUGGGUUCGAAUCCCACUGUCUCC
RNAcentral lists this transfer RNA (71 nucleotides) under human gut metagenome. It matches the Rfam family "tRNA". From Rfam's summary of the family: Transfer RNA (tRNA) molecules are approximately 80 nucleotides in length. Their secondary structure includes four short double-helical elements and three loops (D, anti-codon, and T loops). Further hydrogen bonds mediate the characteristic L-shaped molecular structure. tRNAs have two regions of fundamental functional importance: the anti-codon, which is responsible for specific mRNA codon recognition, and the 3' end, to which the tRNAs corresponding amino acid is attached (by aminoacyl-tRNA synthetases). tRNAs cope with the degeneracy of the genetic code in two manners: having more than one tRNA (with a specific anti-codon) for a particular amino acid; and 'wobble' base-pairing, i.e. permitting non-standard base-pairing at the 3rd anti-codon position. The record is from RNAcentral.